RNAcentral lists this small nucleolar RNA (115 nucleotides) under Triticum aestivum (bread wheat). RNAcentral describes it as "Small nucleolar RNA snoR31/Z110/Z27". It matches the Rfam family "Small nucleolar RNA snoR31/Z110/Z27". From Rfam's summary of the family: This family contains several related snoRNAs including R31, Z27 and Z110. Lineage: Eukaryota; Viridiplantae; Streptophyta; Magnoliopsida; Poales; Poaceae. RNAcentral also lists the same sequence under 1 other name. The record is from Rfam by way of RNAcentral.
AGUAUCAGGUCAUGAAACCUUAAAUAACCCGAGGACACAUUCUCUUUUUCUGUGUUAAAGUAUCAGGUGAUAAUCUUAUCCUGUGAAUGAGAAGUCUUUAAUUUCUGAUGAUACU